AGUGAACGCUGGAUUUAGCAGCAAUUAAAUCAUUGGAUACAUUGGUCGGGGCAGUUUUGACAGAGUGAAGAGCGAGGAAUCCAGACUGAAGUAAGUCUAGCAGAGAAUUAGAUUCGAGGAAGUCAAUCAAUCUAGCGUAGACGGUCCUCUCGAGGAUCUUGAAGGAAAUCAGUAGUAAUGAGUUAAAUGAGGAGUUAGGGUCAAGGUUGGGCUUUUUUAGAAUCGGGGUGAUGCUUGCGUGCUUGAAGAGUGAAGGAAAUAUGCCAGAGGAGAGCGAGAGAUUGAAUAUUUUAGUGAGGGGUAAGAGACAUUAGAGACCUCUUUCCUGAUCAUGGAACUCUUCUCAGUGAAGUGAGUUGCAAAGUCUGUAGCAGUAAAGUUAGGAAGAGUAGCAGCAACAGGGCAAAGUAGAGAGUUAAGUGUGAAAGAGGCGUACAAGCAUAGCAUAAAAUUAUAAUAGAGAAUGUCAUAUGCAGAAUCUGUGCAAAGGUUGUAACCGGGGUCGUUUAUAAUGUUUAAAUAUAGGAGGUGCCACGAUAUCUAGUUCAGGGGAGAAUGCAAAUAAUUUUAUCUAUUGAAGUUACCGAGAAGAAAAAAAAAAUCAUCAUUUUAACUAAAUAAUAUUUUUGAAUAUGUGACAUUGGAAUUUCCCCUUACAUUAUCUGUAAUGGUCUCACAUUGUUUCCAUGUAUUCUCCAUAUUUAUAGUCCCCUAAAUGCUCAUAUUAUACCCAUGUAUAUUUUAUUUGUUACUACAUUACCAUGACAUUGCCUAUAUUAACCUCACAUCGUAACCAUGUUGCCACUUUAGAAACAAAGACACACAAAUAGACGUGCACACGCUCACAUGCAUACUGACAGAGCUAGUUACAGAGAGAGAGAGAGAGUGUGUGUGUUUUUCCAUUUGUAAUUGUCCAAAUAAUUUUGGUAGUGAAGAGGUUAAAGAGGCAACAAAAUAUGUAAAGAACAGGCACGUGGUGAUCUAGUGUUCACAAGUCACAUGUACAUUUAUUGUCAAGCAGAUUUAGAUACAGAGUGGACCACCAGACAUACAUAUAAUGAACUUUACUGUCUAAAUGGAAUAAUGGUCCUGGUUAUACUCUAUGUAAACAAACUCCAGAUUUGGCAAUCCAAGCGUAAUAACAAAUUGCAAUUUGUCUAAAUCUUAAAAUGACUGUUUUGGAAAAUUACAUGAAUAAGGUACUGACAUUUUUAUAGAAAGGAUCCCUUGUGUGCUUCACCUGCCAAUGGAAAAGUACUGAAUUGAGGGACGAGUUACUCCGGAGACCAAGCUUUCAGUGCACAAGACUUUUAGAGGGCUGUGUUUUUACCAAUUAAGUUGCAGUCCGCGUGGUUGUUACUAAUGAGCUUUGGUUAAUUCUCCAUAUCAGCUUUUUCCCUUUGAAUUUUACAGCACACCUGUUGAUUUGGAGAUUUGAAAAGAAACUAAACUAUAUAUAAUUUACAAGUUUAGGCAACGCAUGGUAGGCACCUAUAAUUUAUAAAACUGGCACUGGAAGUAUAAACCAACUUUCUCGUUUCUUUUAAGCACACUCCGCUUGUCUGAAGUCUAUCAAUUUUUCAACAGUUUAUUAAAGGACAACUAUAGGCACCCAGACCACUUAAGCUUAAUGAAGUGGUCUGGGUGCCAGGUCCAUCUAGGGUUAACCCUGUCUGCUGUAAACAUAGCAGUUUCAGAGAAACUGCUAUGUUUACAUAUGGGUUAAUUCAGCCUCUAGUGGUUGUCUCAUUGACAGCCGCUAGAGGCACUUCCGCGCUUCUCACUGUGAUUUUCACAGUGAGAAGAUGCCAGCGUCAAUAGGAAAGCAUUGAGAAAUGCUUUCCUAUGGACUGACUGAAUGUGCGCGCAGCUCAUGCCGCGCAUGCACAUUCAGCCGAUGACGUCGGAAGGAGGAGGAGAGUCCCCAGCGCCGAGGGAGCCCGGCACUGGAGAAAGGCAAGAUUUGAAUCCCUUCCUCCCACUUCAGCCCGGUGGGAGAGGGCCAUGAGGGUGGGGGGGACCUAUUAAUACUAUAGUGCCAGGAAAACAAGUUUGUUUUCCUGGCACUAUAGUGGUCCUUUAAGUGACAGUUUUUUUUUUUUGCUGUGCAUAAGAGUAAUACAUACAAACUUGAGGUACCCCAACGGCAAUCCUCAGACUAAGCUUCUUGUAAUACUAUUGGAGUAGUAGAUUAGGCAAGCAAACUUUUAUAUAAUGAACAAGAGAUAACAGGAUUGAGAGGUUUCUAGUCAGGUCUGUCUAGCUACCAUUCAUAUUACAGGCUAGUAGCAAACAUAUAGUGGGGACUGGCAUGGCUAGGAGACAAGCUAGGGUAGAUAAUAUAAGGUUAACAAGCUAAACUGCCGCCAUGCAAAAUGCUGCUCGCUAUAAGGACACAGCUGUUUUACAUGAGAGUCUGUGUAGGUUUCUAAAGUAAAGGAUCUCCACUGGGGCUAUGCUAUCGGUAGUACUCUGCAUUACUUAAAGCUAGUCAUGGAGAGACAUUUGGAAAUGAGUGGGUUCUGACCUCGUGGUAAAUUUUUUUUUACAAAAAAUAAAAUAUAUAUAUAUAUAUAUAUAUAUAUAUAUAUAUAUAUAUAAUAAAGGGUAGAUUGCAGUAUGCAUGCAAUUCUAGGUCACUUCUUUAGCAUCUUGGGUACAUAUGUGUGUUACUGUGGAUAAACAUGCUAGAGUCUCAGCCCUGCAGUCAGCCAACUCCCGUCAUGUGUACGUUACUGUCCCGAUACAGGUACGUGUAGGCCUGAAGCAUUUGCGGUCCCGUGGUCCUGCAUAUCCGGCGGUGCACGAGAGAGGACUCCGGAUCAGGUUGUUAGUGCUGGGGUUGAGGGAGCCAAGUGCUCCACAUUCGGGGUGAUCAGUGUCUCGUGCGUGGGCUAAUUAGAUGGAGUGCAGCUAACCUCCGCUUCAGCUUCUUGUACCUCUGAGACUCCCUGUAUGUUCCUUUCCCCUCCGCUGCCUGAGUGGACAUUUCAGGCCUUGCUUCAUCAUGCUUCGGUGCAGACCUAUUAACAGCCCGUCUGGAGCUGAACCAUCGUGGUUUGCACCGCCAAAGGCUCGCUCUCUGAGGGUUAGAGGCCACAGGUUGGACCCGAAGUCAUCGUGGAGACUGCACAGGUGAGUGAAGUGGCAAGGUCUGCAGGACUGGUGUGAGGUGUCUGAGGUGCAGCUUCAGCCAGAAUUCCUCAAAGAGGCUAUCCAGAUGUGUCAAAGUUACAGACCACAUUCCCUGUUUAGAUGUAGAGCAUGAGGGAUCCGUCAUGUUGAAUGUGCUGGUUGUAGUGGCACCGCUGGACAUGGCAGGUAGGCUGCUGCUGGCGCUAGAUUUCUGGCACUUGGUCACCAUAGGGGGAGGAGAAGGUGUCGGGAUAUUCCCCACCGGCAGGGGGAGGGGCAUUUGCAAGGAGAGACUGCGUGAGUAGUCGGCAGCAUCAUGCUGAGAGAGUGGCCGUCUUCCUAUCGCAAUGAAGGCCUUUUGUAGGCCGCAAGUCUGCUCCUCAGUGAAGCCGUCGAUCUCGGUCCUGAUCUCAGGUAGUGGUACCACUGGGUUCCUUCUGUCUCUUGGUUAGUUCAGUAAUGUGGAGUGCAGGCUGGAAUCGAGUAAUUAAUGCUUUUUCAGAGCCUCUUCUGAUGUGCGACCAAUUGGCCCGGCGGUCAGGCUCUGUCCCCCAAAAGUGCUUGUUUUAAUAGAGAUCAGCCCUUUUUUGACUGGACACUGAAAUGCCUCCUUUUUUGUCACUCUAGGGAGGCUUUCUUCCACUUUACUACAAAGGCUAGGCUCGAGCGUGUCUGCUUUCCACAUUCUCGAAUGACCUCAAUGAGAAGCAGUAGAAAGCUGCGAUUGCACAGCUUUGUGGCUGCAGAACAAUGAGAGCCUCAAUAAUGAAACCCUCUGAUUGGUCAGUUCCACAGACCGAGAGUGUAGGGCUUGCAAAGGCUUUGCAAGCUGUUGUUUUAUAUAUCCCCAAAGAAAACAAUGAGAAUAAUGCAUAUGUUUAUGUCCACUAGCACGUUGAUAGGUUGGCUUUCAUCAUUGUCUACAUCAUUGUUUAGUAGACAUGGAAUGGUUGACUGGGGCAUUGCAUGAGGCAGGCUUAAAGGGACACUAUAGUCACCAGAACAACUACAGCUUAUUGCAUUUGUUCUGGUGAGUAGACUCAGUCCCUUCAGGCCUUUUGCUGUAAACAUUGUCUUUUCAGAGAAAAUGCAGUGUUUACAUUAAAGCCUAGUGAUAACUCCACUGGCCACUUCUCAGAUGGCUGCUAGAGAUGCUUCCUGGGGCAGUGCUGCACAAUGUGACUGACAUUCAGUGUCUCCAGCCUCUGCAGACACUGAACUUUCCUCAUAGAGAUGCAUUAAUUAAAUUAAUAUCUAUUAGGAGAUGCUGAUUGACCAGGGCUGUGUUUGUCUUGUGCUGGCUCGGCCCCUGAUCUGCCUCCUUGACAGUCUCAGUCAUACCUAUGGGGAAGCAUUGUGAUUGGCUCAGACCACUACUUCUGAUGAUGUCAAAGGAUAUAUGCAGUUCAGAGGUAGACAGGUGCAGAGCCAGCAGGUGCAGACAGGAAUACAAGUAAUAUUUUACUAGUGGGUGGGGGGUUAACACUAUAGGAUCAGGAAUACAUGUUUGUGUUUUGACCCUAUAGUGUUCCUUUAAGACUUGUCUUAUACUAAUUUGGGGUCAUAUUAACCCUCACAGGCUUUUUUAUUUCCUUUUUUUUUUGGAGUUAGUCUUUUAAAAAGGUAGCUCUAUGUUCACAUUUAUUGUCCAUUUUAUUGCGAGCAGCUGUCCCUUUUUGCUGAAGAUUCUGGCUGGCAUUAAAUCUAGUCAGAAUAAUAAAACAAAAAGGACCAAGAAUAGUCGACAUUUAUUGUUGUUAAGAGACUCCUGCUUGCUUGAACGUUUUAGUGAUGAGUUCAAAGUAACCAUGUUUUGAAAAAUGCCUGGCUUAAUGAAUUAUGAUUCUUAUGUAGGAAACUUUAAUAGACACAUUAAAACAUCAGCACUACAAUGAACACGUACAAAAAGAGGAAGAAAGUAGAAAUGAAAACUUAAAAUCUCCAAUUUGCAUGUUAGCAGACAUCAUAAGAGGAGAGUUAGCAGUCUGCAAAUCCUGCACUCCUGGAUACAGGCAAUACCGAGCCAAAGGAGGGUUGAAUCAGUCUUCAAGAAGGGACUGGUGUCCACCAGUGUGUUACAUGGAAGUUGGAUGUCAUCUAAGUAAGGGAUAGAAUAUUGGCUCAUCCUGGGUUAGCCAGUAGCUGUUAGAAUGGUCCGAGCAAAGUGAUAGCCAACGUGCUUAUGACAUUGCUGUUGAUCUAUCACCAACAUAGAAAAAUACAUUUUGUAUGUAUGUUUUUAUAGUGGUAAUUGAGGGAUCAUAGGUGGUGUACUGUAGCCCUGAAGGGAAUUUGGAGACUCCGUCAGACCUGUAGCUGUAUUUGAGGUUUUCAGCUUUACAGACCAGUUUACAUCAAUGGUCCAUAACAAAGUAGCAUCUUCUGUUAUCUCCCCAUUUAGAGUAAAUAAUGAGGACCACUUUUAUUGUGCUUGUGGUUCUUGAGGUAUAGCAGGAUCCAACUAGGCAUACUGCUUGAACUUUGGCUUUCAGCAUUGUGGGAGUUUAGGCAUUGUGAAGAUCAGGCCCAGAGAAUUGAGACACCAUCUAAAGUGGAGAAUAAUAUGUUGGCAACUGUUGCUUCAUAAAUACACAUUAUUUUGCAUUCAUGGCGUCCGUUUAACAGAGUAGAGCUUCUGUGUCAAGGUGAAGAAAGCACGCUGCUCUGAUACCCCGUUUGGAGCCAUCAUAUAGAGAUCCUCACUUUGGCAGACAGUUUGAGGGGUGAACAAGGGCUUAUUGUGUAUAAAGGACACUUCACAGAAAAUAGAAUUUGUGAUGAACAGUAGUAGUAAUACCAGUAGAUAGGUGAGAAAUGGCCUUCCGAUCCCUGGCAAGUCUCUAAAGCCAGUGAUUUGAUUCAGGCCCAUGAUUUGAUUCAGUUUACUGUUUAAAGCAGGGACUUUGUAGAAAUGUCCAAAGGGCUCAAAAGAAAGGGCCGCUGAUGGAGAGAUGAAAAAUGUCUAUUGCAUGCCAAGUAACUGGUCUGAGGGCCACCGUCACAUUAAGCAGUAAGCAUGGACCAUACAGGCAUUUUUUUAUAGAAAGCUAUGAAGUAUGCAAAUAAUAAUAAUAAUAAUAAUAUGUUGUUGCACAAAAUCACAGGCAAGAAAUACUCCUCACUUUGUGAUGUCAAACAGCAGCUAUGUUCUUGUACACUGGAUGCAUGUACUAUGUGGACAAACCUUACAAGUUUUGUGGUACCUGUACAGAUUCUCUCAUCAUUUGUUUUUUUUAUUUUUGUUUUUUUUUAUGAGAGGGUCUGUACUGCAGUUCUACACAUGUGCAGCUGUGGAAAGAUUAGUUAAUUGGAAUAUGCCAAUUGAGUUUUGUGUUCUAGUAUCUUACCAAGUAGUUGUAUUCAUAUAAUUUCAUAAAUUACAUAGGUUUAACUACUUACAUCAGGGAAGGGGGAAGUAUAAGACCCCAGUAGUGGUUAUGGUGUUUGAAGUGUUUCCUUAAAUACAGUUUUGAAGCAUGAUGAUAAUGAAAAGGUCUGCAAAAGAAAGUUUAAAUAAUGAAGAGUAUUUAUACUGACUUGGUGAUAGCUUUAAACUAGUCCAACUGGAAAACGUUUUUUGGGGGGGUUUUUUGCCCAGGCUUGUUGUGAUAUAGCACAAUUAUUUCCAUUAUUUUUUUUAUUUUUAAAGCAACAAUGAUCCCCAACACUGCACAAAAGGCAAACAAAACACAAGAUGUUUUUGGUGGCAAAACAAGUUUAGACAGGAACAAAAAAUGGCAUGGACCCAACUGGAAGAAUCCUACAGUCUGAAAACCCCAAAACUCACAGCACAGCUAAGCAUACUCUGAGCAACACCGACUGAUCCCCCUCUUAAUCCCCCUCGUGUGCUCUAAACAGGCCGCUUAGACCUUCUGUGUCUCCAAGAUCUCCCUCUGGGGUUAAAGAACAAAGUGACAGCGUUUUGUAAGAUCCAGUCUGCUCCAGAUCAGGAUGUUUGUAUAAACUUCAGCCUUCAGAUCAAAUCUUCAGUAAAUAUCAUUUAUUUGACUAAUGUUGCUGCCGCAGUCUGUAAUUCCAGCCCUGAACUUUAAAGAAAGGCUUCUGUGGAAGAAUAACAGAUAAACAUCAGCUUUGUCUGGAGUGUAAUUGCAUGCCGACAUUAUUUUCCUAAUUGAAACACGGAUCACGUUACCCCAUAACAAAGAAGGAGAUGCAGAAUCCAAAAUUGCUCCACAAAAAUUACUUUUCCCAAGAAUGCACUAAAGGAGCCAUGAAUUAAUAAAUAUGAAAGUAAGAAAACACAAAAAAAAGACAUUAAGAGCUUAUUACUAUAUGCAUGCUUUCAGCCUGAGUUGUACUUUAUUAAUCAUGUAUGGAGCUGUUAGUAAAUUUCAUAUCUACAGAAAUAAAUUCACAAAGUAGAACUAUUUUAACCCGUGUUAAUUGCAAAUGAUAUUUCUUGCAAGCGAUGUGUUCUGUGCACACAAGUCCUUCUUCACUAUUUUCCCUCUAGCUUUGAUUUUAUUAUUAUUGGCAUUUAAAUGCAAGAAUAAAUUAAACUAUUACAAUUUUAAAGGAAUAAUAAGGCGAUGAGGACCACACUUGAAAGAGCUUUAAUUCUAGAAGAGGUGGGGUAUAAAAACAUAAUAGGAAGGGCGGCGUGUAGGAUUGUAAUCAAGUGACAAACUGGGAAAGCAGUGCUGAGAGUAAAAUGGAAAGUGUACCCACUAAUUAAAGGAACACAAUAGGGGCAGGUACAAAAGUAUCCCUGUGUCAGGAUACGAGUUGAUCCAGCAAGCAGAAUUGUGUCACACCUAGGACUAAAGGUAAUGUCUUACUGGGCCUUAAAAUGGCCGGACUUAACGUACCAGAGAAUAGUCAGGAUACUUGCCGAGGUCAGGGACACAGAGGGAGACACAACGAUGAGGGAAAAGCCGAAAGUCAAGGAUACCAGAAUACAGGGAAGUCAAAAUGAAGCCAAAGUCAAAAACCAGAAAUAAAUGCUCAGGAACACGCUCUCGGAUAACAUACUAAGGGAAACCAUGACAGGGCAAUAAGAAAAAGGAAAAAUUAGUUUAAAUAAGCCUCCUUCAGAUCUGAUUGGCCGUACCCAGCCUCUGACCCCAGAACGUGCGUGCGCGUCCUUUGCAUGACGUCACACGCACGUUGACAUCGUCAAUAACAUGGGUGGACGUGGGGUUACAAAUUGGAAUGGAUCCGCAGCAGCCAGCGGCCUUCAACAUGCCGCAGGAGUCAGAUACAUCGGUACAGGGCUGCUGAGUAACACCUCAGUUAAUGCCAGAAAGGCAUUUGUCGUCACAGACACCACGAGGUGAGGAUGAACAUGUGACACCCUGAACCUAUAGUGUUAAAAACACUAUCUAGCCCCUUGUCCCCUAAAUAUAGUACAAUCUUACCUUUAUUCCAGUAUGCUGGUGCUGGUUCUGUCCUGAUCUGCCCUCUUGGCUGACAUCAUCAGAAGUGAUGAUCACAGCCAAUCACAAUGCUUUCCCACAAGAAAGCAUUGGAUUGGUUGAGAUUGUCUCUAUGAGGAAAGUUCAGUGUCUCCAUGCAGAGGGCGAGACACUGAAUGUCAGUGCUGCAUAGCGUACAGCACUGACUUCCCCAGAAAGCACCACUAGUAGCCAUCUGAGGAGUGGCUGCUGGAGGUAUCCCUAGGCUGUAAUGUAACACUGCCUUUUCUCUGAAAAGACAGUGUUUACUGCAAAAAGCCUGCAGGGACUGACUAUACUCACCAGAACAAUUACAUUAAACUGUAAGUUGUUCUGAUGACUCUAGUGUACCUUUAAGGUUUGCGACUAAGAGAUAGAUUUGAGGAAUGACAGUUACUCUGGUAUGCCAUAGGCUAUUGUGAAGAGAUUCAUUUUAAGAUUUAAGUUAAUGGUUAAGGCAAAUAUUAUGGCAAAAUUAGUUCAGUACUUUUCAAGUUUUCCCCUCUUAUCUUAAACUACUCCAUAUUACUUUUUCUGAUAUUAAGUAGGAUGUUUUUAUUAUUCUGCCAUUUUGCCACCUUUACUCAUUAUCCCUUUUUUAACCCCUUAAGGACCAAACUUCUGGAAUAAAAGGAAAUCAUGACAUGUCACACACGUCAUGUGUCCUUAAGGGGUUAAAGCUUUCAUAUAACUAGGUUUGAAAGUUAAGAUGUCUAGUGUUAACAUUUCUAGAUCUUCUCAGAUUUAAUUGUCACUCGUUUCUGAAAAAGGGGAAAGAAAUACAAUUCACACAAAACAGCAAGUAACCUUCCUGUUUAAGAUCUGAUUUUCCAAAAUUUCAAGGGCUUACUAUUUUAUUCAUUCAUAAGUACAGUUCAGGAAGGUAAUCAUACUUGCUAGCGAAGUAAGACAAACAUCCGUCUUGCCUUCUGGUAUGUCUUAUUAGAAGUGGGUUUUCUUGUGACUGCCUGUAAAGCUUUGGGAGCAGGACCCUUGCCAGCUUGGUUUCAAUGUAAUGUUUUAAGUGCUCUUGAAGACAUUACCAAUGUAUUGCUACCUUCCUCAAAUCAUUGAUAUGAAUGAGAAUAGUAUAUUACUCUAAACUAGAAGUAGGUAGCUACACCUACGUAAGCUGUGUAUUCCAAAAUAGUCAUCUUGUACAGGAGUGAGUGUAAAUACAUCUUAUUUUUUUAAAGAUACACUCCAAAUACCACUAUCCAUGACAGUUUGCUACAAUUGGGCUUGCGCCAGGGUCUGCUAAAUAGCCACUGCAGUGGUCAUUUAGCAGACCUGAUCAUUGAUAUCAAUGAAAGUAAUAUAGCUUUUCAAUUAAGCUGUGAUUAGUGUUGCCAUUUCCACUGAUAUCAGUAAACGUUUAAAUCAUAAACCAAGUUAUAUAUUUUUGUUCUGCACUCAGAUUGGUCAUUUGUAUUCACUAUUGGACGUACCUCCACGUUGACACAUUCGGUGCACCUAAAUGAUUUGUUUUAAUGGGAGUGAGCAGUCUAGAUUAUGCCAGUGAAGGCUCAUCCAUAGGGGCACUUGGGGCAGAGCCCCACCAAGUUUUUAUGUGGGCUAAAAUAUAUGGGGGGAAAUGUGAGUGUCUCUUUAAUUCUGUAAUAGAUUUCUGUUCUGCAGGUAGCUGUUUAGAGAAACCCAUAAAGGGCACUAUAUGGACAACUCAAUAGAAAGCCAUCCUUGCCCAUAGAGGGCCAUCCUUGACCAUGUAUAGUCAGCCCGGCGUGCAUUCAACCCUGUCUAACCUUUAUGGGCAGGUCUGACCCCUUUCCCCUUUCCCCACUUCCAAUCACAUCCCGAUUCACAGGACAUCGAAGCUAGUAGGUAUGCAGUAGUGUGGCCUGAGAGAGCUGCGGAAACAGAGGUAAACUGACUGUUGUCUACCUCUCGUGUGUCUUAAAGGGAAACGUUUUCCUGGCACUGCAGGUCCCCUCUCCCUCCCACCCCCCAAUCCCUGUUUGCUGAAGGGGUGAAAACCUGAGCCAGCGACAUGUCCCACGUUGCUGCUUCCUCCUCCGUCGCCGCUCCUCCUCUGCAUUGCGUCGGCCGGUGGGCAAGACUGAUCCCGCCCACCGGCCCGGGUGACCUAAUGCGCAUGCGCGGCAAUGUUGCGCAUGCACAUUAGCGCUCCUCAUAGGAAAGCAUUAAAAAUGCAUUUCAAUGCUUUCCUAUGGGGAAAUGAGCAACGCUGGAGGUCCUCACACAGUGUAAUCUGUGCUAUGAUCAAGGUAGUGCCCUCUAGUGGCUAUCUAGUAGACAGCCACUAGAGGUGGAGUUAACCCUGCAAGGUAAUUAUUGCAGUUUAUAAAAAAAAACUGCAAUAAUUACACUUUCAGGGUUAAGAGUAGUGGGCAGAAGUGGUCUGGGUGCCUAGAGUGUCCCUUUAACAAUUUCAUAUUGUUCAGAGACUUUAUUCUCAUCUAACCAAGUGAAGCAGACAUGUUGACAAUGACAGGAUGUAACCAAAUUGUGUAGUGUAAUUCCCUUGUGUCCUCCAGUUAGCCCGAUGCAGUGGCAACUUGAGCUGCUCCAUUGCAAGUUGUUUUGUUUACGCUCCUCUGCCUGUUGCACUGCCUGUUAAUCUGGCUCUGGUCUCUAGUGGUACAGAAACACGAAAGCUAUGCACCAUUAACAUAGGCUGCUUCCCUUGGCAAAUUGCUCAGUGACUUGGCAUCCUAGAAUAAAAUCAACUGUAUUUUCCACUUUACUCACAACUAAUAAAAGCAUAUCGUUUUGUAGAAUCAUAGACUUGCCAUUUCAAGUUGUUUUUUUGGCAAGGUUUUACUUAGUUAGAGGAUAAGAGGUUCCUUCCUUUUAUGAAUAGGAACACAUACAUCGUGUAGUACCUAUGUUUUUUUGUAGAAUUGGCAUUGGGACUGUGCUGACAAUGUGUACAGAACUAUUUAGCCAUUUGUAGUAGUGAAAUAUUUUAUAUUGUUCAAGGUGUGAUUGUGUUGGGUUCUUUAUCUGAUUACUAAACAGAAAUAUGGAGAGCAGGCUUUACAAAGUAUAGUGUAGUAUUAAUCCAUUUUAUUAAAAAUUUUUACUACGAUUCAGCUGGAAAAGCAUACAUAAUUAAGGCUUUUGUAGUUGUUGAUUUUUCUAUGCCUCAGAGCCCCCAAUAUCUUUAAUAACAUUGAUUAAUACUACGCUAUAGCUUGCAAGGCCAGCACUAUCCAAACGACGGCCCUGCUGUUUGCCACGACGGCCUGGUGGGGAGAUCAAAUAUUUCCCUCACCGGCCCACUUGGACAGACAUGCGGCUGGAGAGGAAGAGGAGGACCCGGCAAUGCUCUAUCUUUCAGCUCCGCCGGGUUCUUCUAGCGAGAUCUUGCGAGAGUGAACUCUAGUCCCGCAGGUUAGAGUUCACUCACCACUAGGACCACCAGGGAUGGUAUCAGAGUGCCGGUCUCCCACCCUCCCCCCCUCUCCCAGGUACCACCGUGCCGGACCCCCUCCCAGGCUAAAUGUAAGGGGAGGGGGGUAUUAUGCCUGCUUAGUUUUUUUGUUUUUCUUUAUUUACCCCCCCCAACACACAAUCCCUUCUAACAUUUAUACACAGCACUCUCACACACAUCAUCCACAGCACUCUCACACACAGCACUCUCACACACAUCAUCCACUGCACUCUCACACUCAGCACUCUCACACACAGCACUCUCACACACAUCAUCCACAGCACUCACACACAUCAUCCACAGCACUCACACACAGCGCUCUCACACUCAGCACUCUCACACACACAUCAUCCACAGCACUCUCACACUCAGCACUCUCACACACAUCAUCCACAGCACUCACACACAGCGCUCUCACACUCAGCACUCUCACACACAGCACUCUCACACACAUCAUCCACAGCACUCUCACACUCAGCACUCUCACACUCAGCACUCUCACACACAUCAUCUACAGCACUCACACAUAGCACUCUCACACACAUCACACACAGCACUCUCACACACUCUCACACACAUCAUCCACAGCACUCUCACACUGGGCACUCUCACACACAUCAUCCACAGCACUUACACACAGCACUCUCACACAUCUCACACACAGCACUCUCACACACAUCACACACAGCACUCUCACACACAUCACACACAGCACUCUCACACUCGGCACUCUCACACACAUCACGCAGAGCACUCUCUCACACAUCAUACACAGUACUAUCACACUCAGCACACUCACACAGCACUCAGCACUCUCACACACAUCACACACAGCACUCUCACACACAUCACGCAGAGCACUCUCUCACACAUCAUACACAGUACUAUCGCACUCAGCACACUCACACAGCACUCAGCAGUCUCACACACAUCACACACAGCAAUCUCACACACAUCAUACACAGCACUCUCACACACAUCACACUCAGCACUCUCACACACAUCACUCCCACACACAUCAUACACAGCACCCACACACACAAAGCACCCUCACACACAUCACACAGCACCCUCACACAAAUCAAUCACAUAUAGCACCCUCACACACAUCACACAGCACCCUCACACAAAUCAAUCACAUACAGCACCCUCACACACAGCACCCACCGCACCCUCACACACAUCACAGCUCACACACAACAUCCAUCACACACACAUACUGCACCCCUCACAUACACACAGAACCCCCCCGACACACUGCACCACACACAUACACAAUACUUCCAAACAUAUUUAUAUAAAAUAUAUACACGCACACACACACACACUACACUACACUACACUCCUAACAUACACACUCUGGAUCCCCUAUACACACACUAGAUUCCUUGUAAGCAAACACAUACAACACCCUUAAGAUACACACUCUCUACAAACACUACAUCAUCUAUACACACGCACACACACACACACUCUAUAGCCUGUAUGCACACUCUUGCUACAUCCCCUAGCCACAUAUGCAUUACAUUACACCACUAAAACCGACCUUAUUACACAAUACCACACCACAAUCAACUCACUCUACACACACGAAAUUCCACAAGUAGGCUCCAAACACAUGCACAAUACUCUUUCCUGGCAUUUUUGUCUCCUAGUAUCCAUUUAUAGAGACACCAGAGACAAGUUGCAAGGAAACACAGUGCAAGCAUGUUAUUAAAUUUGCUUGUGCUGUGCAGAACAAAUACAGGGCUUUUUUCUCAUGCUAGAGCUCUUUGGCAGAGCUCUGCGCAUGGUCUGCCCUGGCAGAGCAUUGAACCAACAUGCUCACUUUGAGAGGUGGUGUGUUUGUCAUUAGUGAUGACAAAACACACCCUCUCUGCCCAGCCCCUUCUUAGUAGGCCGCUGUGAUAAAAAAAUGCCUGGGCCAAAUGUUUUUCCCAGUCCGGCCCUGGAUAUAUCUGUUUUAAUUCCUAAGAUCUAAACCCAGAAAAGUGACCCGUAGCAUUAACUUUCUUUUCAAGCCCAGUUAGCAAUAUAUAUCAACAGGAAAAUAAUUUGAUUGGUGCAGAUCAUAUCUGUUUUAUCUGUUUAGAAAACGCUUAGAUUAGAAAAAUGCUAAUUUUCCUAGUGUGUUUGCUUUCUAUUAGACUUGUAUAGAGCUAAAAUUUUCAGUUCUUCCCUUGUUUUUGGGUGGGGUUAUCAUUAACAGAAUUAAGUCAAUGCCACUCUUUGGCUCUGCAGAAUUUCGCUACUUGAAACAAAACUUGGGAAAGUCACUCAGGCAGGCAGAAAAGCAGGGGAAAGGGGGUAUGUUUUGCAAAGCAAAUUCUGAGUUGCCAAAAUUAGAUAUUGUAGAUCUGGAUAAAAAAAAAAAAAAAAUAGGUAUUGAGAGAACUUAGGUUAUAAUGACUAAUUGUAAUCCUUUUUAUUUUGGUAUUUUGUAUUAAAGGAACACUAUAGUCACCAGAACAACUAUAGCUUAAUGUAGUUGUUCUGGCGAGUAUAAUCAUUGCCUUCAGGCAUUUUAAUGCAAACACUGCCUUUUCAGAAAAAGGGCCGUAUUAACAUUGCCCUUAGGGACACCUCCAAGUGGCCACUCCUCAGAUGGCCACUGGAGGUGCUUCCUGGGGCAGUGCUGCACAGUAGGCAGCACUGUCGUUCAGCGUCUCCACACACUGCAUAAGGACACUGAAUUUUCCUCAGAAAUGCAUUGAUUCAGUGCAUCUCUAUGAGGAGGUGCUGACUGGCCAAAACUGUGUUUGGCCCUGCCCCCUUUCCCUAUGGGAAAGCAUUGGAUUGGCUAGAAAUCAACAAUUCUGAUGAUGUCACCAAGGGGGCGCGGCCAGUGCCGGCGGACCCGUCUGGCCCUGGAAAUAAGUGGAGCUUUAAUUACUUUUAAGGGUGCUAAGAGUGGGGAAAGCCACCUAAAAGGUGAGUUUAGAACUAUAGGGUCAGGAAUACGUGUUUGUGUUCCUGACCCUAUAGUGUUCCUUUAUUAAAAAAUGGGUAUGAGUAAUUUUAAGUUCAAAAUAGGGGAUUUUAUGCAAAAUUAAAAUAAAAAAGUCAGUGGGCAAUUGACCACCCACUCAACCCUUCCACUAUGACAGGAACAAAGCUUUCCCACACAUCCAGUCUGUAACCUUAGUGACCAUCAUUAGUGACUACUGUUGCCCUACAGACAGCAUUGGUAGAAGCUUAUGAUAGGGCACAUUUCCCCCCCAUACUGAAAGAUGGUCAAAAACACUAACAAAGGGUGAGUUGGUCGUCCGUUGCCCAUGCCACUAACUUUCAUAGAAAAGAAAGUUACCGUCUUUCAAUCAGAAAGAAAAGAUUGUUCAAACUGCAUCUAAGGAGUUAGGUAGCUUAAUGUAGUGGUUCUGGUGUAUAUAGCCUAUCCCUGCGGGGGAGGUAAGGAGACACCUAAACAGUGAGUAGGACGCUAUAGCUUUUGGAAUAGAUGUUUGUAUUCCUAAUGCUAUAGAUUUCGUUUAAGGAGUACUGCACAGUACCUACACACUUGCACAGCACACACUGGACUGAACACAGAAUGGAAAUUAAAAUAGGAUUUUAUUUCUCCAAACUAAUAAUAUAUACAUAUGUUUAACAACUGCAUAUUGAUAAGUCUCGCACUAGGAUCAAUGACAAAAUGCCUGCCAAUCUCCCACUUAAAGGAACACUAAAGCAUACAUGUAGUCCUAAUGCUUUAAGGUCCCUGUCCCUAGUUAUAUAGGUAUGUGUUUGUUCAUGUGCGCGAUUAAUAAUAAUAUUAAAAUAAAGGGUUUUACUCACCUUUUUCCUGCAGCGAUGGUACCUCUGCUCCUCUCAUGGCAUGGCCUCCUCCUGCGUUUUCCAAUCCAAUGCUCCUCAUUAGUCAGUAUUGGGGAUCUGAUGUGCACAUGUGGCAAAUGCCGCACAUGCACCCUGGCUUUUCAAUAGGAAAGUGUAGCAGAAUGGACCCAGCCACCCUAAUUUAUACCAGCUCUGGGCUGUCUGUAUCCCCUUUGUUUUGCCCUCUCCUUGACCCCAUGCAUGAGAAAGUAACCCUAAUUGUACGAGACUUACUCCCCUGUCUUUGUAACCUAAGUUUCCCCCUGUUUCUCCUGGCCAUUCGUCAAAAUCCAUGCCCUUAAGUGGUUCCCACAGUUUUGUACAAUAAUUGAACAAAUUGCCGAACGGCAGACCACCCAGCUAUGGAAUGUGCCACUCAUUAACUCCGUUCACACCUUCACAAACCGCAACCACACAAACGUUCUAAGCGGUCGGCUGGGUGGUUGCCGUUCGUAUAGACGAACACGUGGUGGCGGCCAUCUUGGGACACGAACAAAGGCAGCGUGUUUGGUCGUCGAGUGCAUGGAACUAAAAUCGGACACUCAACGGCACGAAUACCGCUGGGACUUCCACCUCCAUCGAAGUUCACCUAAAAGUCCACGAACAGAGCGCUAAAAGUGCACGAAUAGAGCGCUAUGCGGUAAAAACAAUCUACCGAACUACAUACAGCCAAUAAAGUUGUGCACAACCGAAUUUACCCAUUAUUUGACUUAUAAGAUAGACCGGCCGCACAGCCUAAUUCUCUGGAACUCUUUUGGGCAUGAAAGUAAGCGUGCGGUCGGUCAAAUGUGACUUCCACAUAAUUCGUGAACCCCCUACUCUGAUCUGGGUGAUUUUUGGAUAUGUUGUUCACCCAGAUCAGAGCUAUCCAGGGAUGUGCCAUUUAUGGGGAUAUGUAAUGUUUUUUGUGUACUUCUGGAAAAUAUGUGGUUUUUCCUGCCUGGAGAUAAUUGCGUUAUUACGUUAUCUACCUCAGUUAUCAACCAGGCAGAGAGGAGGGCUUGAACAUACUGUGUCUCUAUGUAUAACCCUGUUUCAUUGGUUUGUGAACUUUGUGACCCCACGAGGUCCACCUGGCUGGUAACCUUGUGGGGGAAAUCACAUAAAAGGCAGUGUGCCAGCAUUAAAGGACCACUCUAGGCACCCAGACCACUUCAGCUUAAUGAAGUGGUCUGGGUGCCAGGUCCUUCUAGGGUUAACCCAUUUUUUUAUAAACAUAGCAGUUUCAGAGAAACUGCUAUGUUUAUGAAUGGGUUAAGCCUUCCCCCUAAUCCUCUAGUGGCUGUCUCAUUGACAGCCACUAGAGGCGCUUGCGUGCUUCUCACUGUGAUUUUUCACAGUGAGAGCACGCAAGCGUCCAUAGGAAAGCAUUGUAAAUGCUUUCCUAUGCGACGGGCUGAAUGCGCGCGCAGCUCUUGCCGCGCGUGCGCAUUCAGUCCAGGAGGAGGAGAGGAAGCAGAGAGCUCCCCGCCCAGCGCUGGAAAAAGGUAAGUUUUUAACCCUUUCCUCCUUUCCAGAGCCGGGCGGGAGGGGGACCCUGAGGGUGGGGGCACCCUCAGGGCACUAUAGUGCCAGGAAAACGAGUAUGUUUUCCUGGCACUAUAGUGGUCCUUUAAACCUUGAGUUAUUCCCUCUAAACUGAGUGUCGUCCAGUUACUGGGGAGGUGUUGGGAGAAUCUUUUCUUGCUUUGCUGUAUUUGCCUGUUCCUGUGGAUCACCUUCCUUGUUCCUGAGUUAUCUUGGAGAAAAUCAGCGGAGAAAAGUCCCUGCUAAACUAGAAAAGCAUUAAAUCAAUGAUUUCCUGUUAGGUCUUCCAAGUCAUGUGACCUUGUUUUUAUGGUCAAUGCUGCGUGAGUGCCUUCUUGACAGACAUUAGAGGUGGAUUUAGCACAGCAGCAACUCCUGGAACCCUGCCAAACAUAAGUGUAUAAUAUUCUUUUUUUUUCUCCCCCUCCCAAAAAAGCCCUAGUUACUGAGUGAGGGCUGAUUAAGCAGGGGAAUUUACUCAAUGUAUAAUUAAUUUAUAACUAUAAAGCCAAAAAAUCUCAGGGGAGGAUGCAUUUCCGACACAGAGUACUGUACUUCCUGUCACUAAUAGUUUUAAAAACUCCUACUACACAUGCUCACCAUCUUCUUUAAAGUGCUCAGUCGACAGCUGAACCCUGUGGCUAGUUUAAAAGUCAGAGAUAACGACGAUUACAGAUCAGGAAGAGUCUAUAGACAUUUUAAAAAGAUAACAAGAGUAGACUCUGAUUACUGCACUACAUCUGAAUAUGAAACUUCAGAUACAGAUAGCGAACAAGCCCCCGUGCCCCAAAUUAUGCAUAAUACUGGUAAAGGUAUUCUUAAGAAAGGUGUGUCUUUUUUAGGACAACCCCCCAGAGGGGGGGGAUAUACAGGUCCAGCUCAGACAAACUCGCAACAGGGGGAGAACUCGCAGACGAUAUUAGAAAAGGACACUAGAAUAAUUAACAUUUCAGACACUCCUCUCACCAUGAUACAAAGCCAAGUAAUUAUGAAGGGUUUGUCUUUUGUCCCAACUCCUCCAUUCAGUAAAUUUGAAUGGAUCAAAGACAUCAAUUUGUUUGGGAGAAGACUUGCCUUCCAUAAGUUCUUUAAAGUGAGAGAUGAGAAAAUGGCAAAAGAUUUAGGUUUUGAUACAAAGGAAUAUCAGUGCCUUUUGGACCAGGUGUCACUUCUAGAAUCUAAUGACAAUGUUUCCCCCCCACCCUAUACAGAUCUUCAUUCGAAAAGUAAGUUCACUCCCAAUUUUCAUGACUUUAAAAAUAUUGAUUGGUUUGUUGAAUCGACUACCAACACGAUUAAAAAACUUAAUACGGUAAAACCCAGGGAAAAUCUCACGAAAAAAGAAUGGAAGGCAUUAAAUGAAUUAAAGGAGAAUGAACAUAUUAUUAUCAAACCAGCAGAUAAGGGGGGCAACAUUGUCAUUAUGAAUAGACCCUACUAUGUCCAAAUGGCUGAAACUAUACUUAAUGAUGAGAAUACAUACAGAGUACUCACGUUUAACCCCUCAUCAAAGUUCAUGCUUGAGUACAAAACCCUAUUGGAUGGGGCAUUCGAUCAUGGGGUACUUACCAAGGAAGAGUAUGGUAACAUUUUCGUUAAAAAUCCUGUAAUUUCAACCUACUGUCUUCUGAAAAUUCGCACGGGGUAUGAAACAUUAACAGCAAGACCAAUAGUGUCAGGUUCUAAUAACUUUAUAAGUAAAGGGAGUAUAUAUGUGGAUAAGAUUCUACGACCAUAUGUAGAAAAACUACCCUCUUAUUUGAAAGACACUAGAGACUUCAGGUAUUUCAGGGUAUCUUUAAAGGUACCAUCUGGGGCCAUAGUAUGUAGCCUCGAUGUGGAGGCAUUGUACUCCUCUAUACCCCAUUCGAGUGGUAUAGGACAUAUAGGCUCAUUCUUACAAACAAGGGGUACUACUUUUGUUCUUGAUUUACUGCAGUUUAUACUUACCCACAAUUUCUUUCUUUUUAAUAACAAGUUCUACCACCAGGUGUGGGGCACAGCCAUGGGGAUGCCUUGUGCCCCCUCCUAUGCCAACCUGCACCUGGGUUGGUGGGAGAACCAUCUGUAUGUUCAGAACAUCUGAAACAAUAUAUGGACUACGUCUAUUUAUGGAAACGUUACAUAGACAAUAUCCUAAUAAUAUGGACAGGCACGAAACAACUUUUUACUGAAUUUGUGGAAGCUCUUAAUGAGAAUGACUUAAAUCUGCGUUUUACCAUGGAGAUAGGCAUGCCCACACUGAAUUUUCUUGACUGUACACUAUCACCGAUGAAUUACAAAUUCAUACCACCCUAUAUCGUAAACCCACAUCUACUAAUAAUAUGUUAAGUUGGGGAAGUCAUCACCCUGUUUCGCUUAAGAAGGGUAUUCCAGUGGGACAGUAUUUGAGACUAAAGAGAAACUGUUCCACCCUUGAGGACUUCAAACAAAAGGCUGCUUCAUUAAAAGAUAGAUUUAAAGCGAGAGGAUACCCUAAUAGGUGCCUUAAACAGGCAUAUCAAAGAGCACUCCUAUGCGAACGUGAGACCCUCUUGAAGGACGAACCUAAACCUUUCCCCCAAAAAACAAUUAGGUAUGUGGCAAACUACGAUGCAGGGUGGGACACAGCAAAAAAGAUUCUGGCAAGAUUCUGGCCACUACUUACUCAAGAUAGUCACUUGAAAGAUGUAAUCUCUCCACGAGUUUCUAUAACUGCUAAAAGAGGGAAAAAUUUAAAGGAUCUUCUGGUACCUAGUAAUUUUUCUAAACCUAAUAUGGACAAGAAGAGUUGGAUUAAUGUGCAGGUACCUAUCAAUGCAGACGAUGUGUAGCCUAUAGAGAGAGACUAGAAGUUUAUAAUCGACUCCUCUGGUAUGCAGAAGAUCCCAAUUAAACAAUUUUAACUGCAAUUCAACAGGGGUUGUCUACCUUCUCACCUGCAAAUGUGUCAAAAAAUAUGUAGGGAAAACUAUACGUCCCUUAAAAAGACGCAUGAUGGAACAUAUCCAUUCAGUAACCUCUGAAAGAGACACACCCCUGUUGCUAGACAUGUUAGGUUACACCACAGCGAUUCACCUAGAUGCUUUAAAUUCGCCGGUGUUGAAAAAGUACAAAUGGGAAAAGGGGGUGGUGAUCUGGAUUUGCUCCUGAAAAGAAGAGAGUGUUUUUGGAUUCAUAAAUUGGACACUUUGUCUCCAAAUGGCCUCGACGAAGGCUUUACUUUUACCCCCUUUAUUGAAUCUUAGACUUUAUUGUAAUGAGUAUAUAUUAGUUAAUUUGUUACUACCUAUAACGCUUUAAGAUUUGUAUCAUAAUCAUGGACAACUGAGGACAGUAUACCGUCAUAUGUAUUAUAUAUGUAUUUACUGUGCUAGUCUAUAUCUGUCUAUUUUACACCUGUCUGUAGUAUUGUUCCUCUUAAUCUAAGAAAGAAUGUUUGACAUCGGUUGAAACAAAUCCUUCUAUAAGCUACUUUCAUAUAAACAGUCAUAGCCAUUUGACAUAGUGAUUCUAUAUAAUUCAGUUCUAAGACAUUAUGAAAUACAUUUUAGAAUCUAAAUAAGACAAUCUAUUUCUGUUGAUUAGAAUCUAUGACUACUGUACUCCUGCUAUGAUGUAUCUUUAUAUUACUAUAUUAUUCAGUAACAUAUAUUAGGUUAAGUUAUAUGUGUUUAUCUUCUAGUUAGGAACUUGCUGAUAUCAAUGAGAAUAUAUACAUUUUUGUUUUGCUGUCGAUGAUAUUGCCUAGUGAUUGCGAUAAGGCAUAUACUGGCGAGAUUGUAUCUAUGACAACAAAAGAAUCAUGUAUAUCCGUGAUUGGCAUUAAGCUCCGCCCACCUUUACUGUGAUUGGCGCAACUACGGAUGAAUGACAAAUGGUACCAACCACGCUGACUUGGGGUCGUGUAAAUGGAACGCCGCCCAUUGUCUCGUGGGUUGGCUCGGCACAAUGGUGCCUCAGAUACAAAUACAAGCUCAGGUCAGUGUCCUCAUUGAUAGCCUUUGGGAAAGGUGCUCGUUUAAGCGCCGAAACGCGUUAGGCUUAUGGCUUUUUCAGAACUCACAGCACUUUAAUUUUACCACGUUUACGGUGUUUGUUUAUGGGGAAUAGAAGCCAGAUUUAAGUUAUGUUUGGAUAGGGAUUUGGUCUCCUACUUAUUCAGUAUCCAUUAGCCUUCCUAUACACAGGACUAGCAAUUGAUAGCUUUUAGCACUUAUGGGCAUUAGUAUAGUGUGAUCUAUCACUUGUCAUUAGCUGUUCAUCUUUCAACGCUAGGUGAUUUGCUAUGUCUGAGUCAGUGGGACUAGAGUGUUCAGAUGUAUGUCUGUUGAAUGCAUAUUUAAAUUACCAGCUGUAGUACUUUACACUGACUGGCUUCACACUGGGGGCAUUUGGAGAUUUGGAGUUUAAAAGUAGUGAAGCUUCCAACUGCAGGACUAAUGAUUGGACUCUGAGGACUGAUCUGAUUAUGAUUUUAAUCUGCAAUAAUUAUUGAUUGUUAGCCAUGUCAGUUACUUCUUGGCUCCAUAUUACCACUGCAGAUUAAUAAUAUUGCCAGGUGCAAAGACAAUAAGGAAUCUAUCAGCAUCCUGCUGCUUUAACCCUUUGCACACUGUGUGAGGAGAGUUAUUACUAAGUCAGGAGUAGCUGAAAUGGUUGGAGUCUAUCAGUAUCUUGAUGCUUUAACUGUAUGCACACUGUGUGCUGAGAAGUAAAGGAAUAGUUGACGUAUUUCAUGAAAGCAGCACUAUUAAAUAAAAAGUUAAAGUUAUCGUUGCAGGAACAUUACUGAUGAGAUCAUGUCAGGUAUAGCUAAGAGAGGAAGAGAGAGUCCAAGAAUUUAACAGAGAUAUGUACUUGGUACCGUAUGGUGAUCUUCAUAUUCUAGGAUUCUGGCUAUGUGGGGUAGUUAUUAGUAUCUCCUUAUUGUGCCCAGCUCUGUGUGUUAUUUCUCUGUAUAUUACUCAGCUAUAUCUGUUGUAUGGUUAUCUCUGUAGUUAAUCCAGCUCUGUGUAUUGUAUAGUUAUCAUUAUCACGUGUAUUAUUUCUCUAUCUAUAUUUUAUCAGCUCUGUUUGUGAUAUGGUCAUCUCUGUAUUGUACUCAGCUCUAUGUUAUAUAUAUAUAUACAUAUCUCCAGAAGCAAAGUCAGCACUCGAGGACUUGUAAAGUAAGGUGAAUUUUAAUCCAAAGAUUAAAACCAGUUUACAAUCCGGUCAACGUUUCAGUUCUUACAUCAUAACUUCCUUCAGGGUAUAAUAGCAUAACCAUUCUAACACUGACUAUAUAUAAGAAAAACUAACCUACCUUACUCUCAUCACCUGUGUGCGAGCGACCCCAAUUCCUCCAUGCACAUGCGUAGCACCAAGUCCUACCCCCUUAUGAUGUAACGAGGUCCGUGAACCCGUCCCCAAGGAAACAUACAAAUAAGAAUCUAUUAAAACAAGGUUACCACGGUAAUCUAUAAACAAAGGGCCAUCAGAGCUGUUCCGUGCUACAAAUUUAUGAAAAGAGCAUACAGUGGACCAUGGUGAGCAAGAAAGAUAAAAUACACAUUAAGAUACAACGAUGAAACCAUAGUCAUAGAUUGAACUAUCAGAAAGGUGCUAAUAAGCACUAUAUUUAUAUUGAUAUAAAGUACACGUGCGUUAGGUUAUAAGACAUAUAGCCAUAUUCUUAAAGUGCCCAAUGUAAUCUUAAAAGUGACUCUGUGACAUGCAUGAAAGUGAAUACGUGCAAUCAAAGAGUAUUAUAAUUAUAAUAUUACUGUAAAAAUAAAGAUUACUAAAUGCUCAAUAUCUAUCAAUUAAAUGUUUGUUCAAGGAGACUUAGAUUUAUGUUUACUAUACUUUUGACUUGGUUCAAGAGGGAAAUGACGAGUACCUAAUCAAAAAUAAUUACACUGUGUUCACAUAUUGUAACGAAAACACAAUUUAUCUAAUAAUAGAAAAAAUGAAAUCUAACAUUGUUAAAAGCAUGAUCUGAUAUAUACACAUUAUCUGGUGCAAUCCUGUUCCUAGGAAAGAUAUAUAGAUAUACAUUGUAACAGCUAUGUGAUACAAAAGUGAAUACAAAUACAAAAAAACAAGUCCUGCGCUGUAACUUUUUGGGGGGUUUACUGUAUGUAUUGGGGCUAAUGUGUGUACUAUGGUCAUUGCUGCCACCCAAGAGUAGUGGGAGUUUGAGCACAGGGCUUGUUUUUGUGUAUUUGUAUAUACUUUUGUAUCACACAGCUAUGUUACAAUGCUGCCGCCCAUCCAAUGUGUUCCCUAUUAAGGGUUAAUAAGUAUGUAGGGUUUUAGAAAAAUACCCCUGUCUGUCUCUUUAGCGAUAUCUCUGCCUGAAGCUCAAGGAAGAAAGGUGAAUGGUUAGUGUAGGACCCACCUGAGAGGUUUGCCUUGACGUGGCAGGUGGGCAUACCCUCUAAUGGAAAUUGGAGCAACUAAAUAACCUCCAUUUGUUUAAAUAUGCAUAGGGAUUUGGGAAGAGCACAUGUAAGGUUUUUGUUUUUUUUCUUUAGCCCAGCAGUUCCCAAACAGCGCCCAGCACACAGGGGAGCCGCAAGUUAUUUUUUUCCGGUGCUAUGAUGAUAGCACCGGGAACUGUGCUCUCCCCUGCUGGCUCUGCAGGACCGGAGGGGAGAUCAGAGAUCUCCCUCUCUGGCCCGCUAGCACUUUGCUGACAGCCGGCAGGGGAGGGAGUGAGAGAGGACCUGGGGGAGCUCUAACCUGCAGCUCUACCGGGUUUUCCUCUCACGAGCUUGGAGAGUUGCCGCAGUUAUCACGGCAACACUCCGAAUAUCGCAAGAGUGAACUCUAGUAGCUCCUGAGGCUGCUAGAGUUUACUCUCUCCACUGGGACCACCAGGGCUUCCCCACCGGACCCCUAGGGAUUACAGGAAAUGCCCCUCCUCCCAGGCAAAGGUAAGCAGGGAGGGGGAGUGGGGGAAUGUCAUUUUUAUUUUGAAUUUUAAAAAAAAAGUAUAUAUUCAUUUGCCCUCCACCCCCACAGACCCCACACCACACAAUAACUCACACAUUAUCCCCCAUACACACACACUACCUCCAUACACACAAUUGCCCCCCCACACACUGCCCCCAUAUACAUAAUUACCCCCCAUACACACACCCCAUAUACAUAAUUACCCCCCAUACACACAAUUACCCACCAUACACACACUGUACCCCUCACACACACACACACACACACUGUACCCCUCAUGCACAAACUACCCCACAUACACACACAAACUACAUCCUUCACAAGCACAAUGCACCCCUCAUAUACACACGCACACUGCAACCCUCACACACAUAUUCCAAUAUUGCCCCCCUGUGUACACAUAUUGCACCCCUCACACACACACACUGCACCCUUCACACAUACACACACACACUACAGCCUCUAUCCUGGCAGACCCCAGGUAAUUUGUCAAACUGUUCUUAAAUGGCACCACUGGCACCAUAACCACUACAACAUAAUGUUUCUUUAGAUAAUCUUCCAGUGCCCCUCCCAAGAUUAGGGGCCCAGUAUAUGCCGCAGCGUUGUACAUAUGUACAACCUAGAAAAUAAUUUUGACUUAGGGUGCCUUGGAAAAAUAUUGAAAUAUUAAAGGUGCCUUGAACCUAAAAAGUUUGGGAACCACUGCUUUAGCCCCUGUACAUAGCCCACAUUCAUAGGUAUCAUGCACAAUGCCACAAACUACUCAUGAAUGUAUUCUAUACAAUGUAAAAGCCCACAUAGGCACAAAUACAACGCUACAAAGCAACUGCAGCACCCACAAAUAACACAAGCAGAAUACAGCAACAUGCACACAUAAUUUAAAAAAAUAGUGCCGGCAUGCCAAUGGACUUCAAAAUCUCCAUUUGGCACAAUACUACUAAAAGGUUGCCUACCCCUGCUCUAGUAACUCAAUAGGAAAACGGAGCUCUUAGAUUAUAGCCAAUACUGAUAUACUUGACACAGGUAAAAAGCACCACUGCCUUUUUGAGCUUAGAGCAAAAUGGGUGUAAAAUAGAAAAUAUAUAAUUAACCCUGGGGCGUCCAGGAGUGUUUGAGAACAUUCUCAAGCAGCGGUUUUCCUGCUGAAAGAACAAGGUGGACUCAUUGACGACUAAUGAUUUUAAUUAGUGACGCAUUAAGUCAGCGCUCUGCUUUGUUCCAUUGUAACUGGGGUUUGGCUUGGCUCCCAUUUUCCAUGAAUAUGGAUGAACAGCCCUUUCAAGAAUUACUUCACAGCUGUGUAUUUAUAGCAAGUCCUGUAACAAGAGCUGUUGGAAGUUUUAUCACACUUAUAUAUUAAUUUAAAAAAAAAAAAUUGUGUAAUGCUGCUGUAUUCUCUACAGUUGACUAUAUUUUAUGUAUUUAUUUUAUCAUGAGAUAAUAUAAUUAGAACAUGUUUUACUUAUUGUAUUUUUUUCCAUUUAAAUUAUGUGAAUUUAGGUCCUACUGGGUUACAUUCUUAACUUUUUUUCCCAUUAAGUUGACUAAUAAUAACAACAUAUAGAAUGCACAAGACAACUGAUGAAAGCUAAAUGUUUUAAAUAAAAAAUAUUUUUCCCUAGUACAUUUUUCAGUAUAUAUAUAUAUUAGAUUUAAUGUUUGGUUUGUUUGUUUUUUUAAAUAAGGUCUAAGAUGAGGAGCAUACAAACACAGACACAUGUGCACACAAUCAUUUUAAUACACAAACUUACAUUUUGUCAGGGCAGCAUUCCCAGAGAUUUGGCAUUGCCACCAUGACAACUUCAUCAAAAUUAAGUUGUUAUGGGGGCCUGAGGUUCUUAAACAGUUCACCGUUCACAGUCCCAAAGGUUGCACUUCAGCCCCAGGUUGGGUGAUGUCACUUUCUAUAUUAGAAUGUUUGCAGUGCAACUGACACCAUGAAGUGUUAAGGUCCCAAGUCCUAGGGUCCAGGACAUACAUAGAGCAUGUAACAGCUUCUGCCCUGUUUUGUAAUUCUCACCAAUUUCGGGUGGGCAUGUUUGUUCAUGUGUGGCAUUAAAAUUGACCCAAUUUUAAAAAAAACCCACAAACAUGUCAUAAAGAAGAUAUAACCCUGAAUCAUGUAUUGGAGGAACAUUAUUUUGAGUGAUUAACAGCACAUAUAGACAGUUUAUUCAUUUAGGAUGGCAUAGGUAUCCAGUUUAAUUCUCUGGUCUUCUUUUUGGUUGUUUUUUUUUUUGUUUAAGUUGGUCCUUGACCAGUUAUUUUAGAUUGUUGAAACUCUGGUCAAAGUAAAGUAUUUCCUUUAUUUCCCCUCUUUAGAUUUGGGACAUGAGCGAUGAUGAAGUCAUCUGAAAAUGAAUAAAUGAAAACAGAAAAAGUUACCAAGAUCCUCUGCCGCAUCCUUUAUAACAGGAAACACCAACCAGUCCAGAUCCUCGUUAACCUUCCAAAACCAAAUAUAUAUUUUUUUAUUACUACAAAAUAAUUGUUGCAAUAACUUGUGUGUGUGCAUGGUUUCAUUUUCCAGAUGAUAUACUGCUUUCUCAGUAAUUCCAUGGGGACUUAUGACCAUCAUCUCAAGCUCAUCAUUACAAACCUUAUGGAUGUAUGAACUGUCCUUGUCAUUUAGAGUUAGCUCGGCUCUAGAAUAAGAAAGACAUUUCAUGCUGGCAUGAGGUCUGUAAGAACCUAAUUGUAAUAAUAGCAUUCAGUGAUUUUGGUGCUUGAGGGCAUUCAAAUCGUAAAUGAUAUCUUUAUGAGAAUAUGAUUAUUCUGCAUAAACUGAUUUCCUUAUAUGGAAAUGAAUACUAUAAUUAUAUAUGAAAUGAAAAGAAAUCUUGUUAUAUGUUUAGAUUUGGACAUUAAACACAUGUUUACCUGGGCUGGGACCACACUAGCCUAUAAUUGAAUAUUAAUGUUUAAAUAAAUAUCUGUCUAUCUAAUAUAAUAUAAUCUAUCAUAUCUAUCUAUCUUAGACAUUUAUUUAUCUUGACCCAGAGAGAUAAGCAGUGUUGCAUCUCAGAUAUAUAUUGAUGCUAUAAUCAAAAUGAUAUGGCCUGAGAUUGAAAAAUGUUGAUUGACAAGUGGCACACGAUAGUCUUUAUAAAGCAUUGUAGUAUGUAAGAAUUGUUAUUACAGAGACACAUAUCCCUGCAAUACGUUUUAUUUAUAUAAAUAUCCUUUUUCAUUACUUAAAUGACCUAUGCAUAUUCCAGACACCAAAGGUAUAAGAAGUCUGUCUUACUUUGUUUGUAUAGUACAUAGAUGCUUGGUGUUUGCAAAAAGCUCUUGCACAUGGACUCUCAGGAAGUAAUGAGACACCUAGUAGGAUAUAUAUACAGGGAACUAUGGAAAAUUGACAGGUGAGUUGCAAAUAUAGCUCAGCUGGAAAAAUAGCUCAAAUUUAAGAAGUUUCAUCUCAUGUCAAUUUGCAAAUUAGUCAGAAUUAAAGUAGCAAUGAUAUCGCAUUUACAAAUAAAUGAAUAACUGGUCGUGCUGGCUUUCACUCCCUUAUAUUUAUUUAUAUUUAGGAAUAAGAAAUCACACAUAUCUUUAUUGCUCAUAAAGUCUUCUGCAAGUGUCCAUAAAGCCCCUGGAACAUUAUCUAUUCCAUAGGAAGCCUGUGGAGGGUUAGGAGCUGAGAUUUCUAAGCCAUUUUCUGGUUCACGAGGACUCCAGUCAAGAAGUAUCAGAAAGAGGGUGUUUGCUGCUAAAGAGUAAAUUUCGUUGUCCAAAUAAUCUAUUAUCUUUAGUUACACAUUGGGCUAGGCCUUUGCAUUUAUAACAGUUGCAGCCAUGAGAUAUACAGUACAGUGAAGGUUUACCUCUCUUACGUUGAGUGCUCCCAGCUAGCAUUAUUAACAGGCCCUUCCAUAUAUAUAUAUAUAUAUAUAUAUAUAUUUAUUUUUUUUAAAUUCGAUGAAUCCUAUUUAAGCAUAUGGAUGCCAGCAUAUGGAUGCCAAGCUCCCCCCCACCCAUUUUAACACUGUUUACAUUGCAGUGUUUAAAUGCCUCUUGUGGCUGUCAUUCAGAAAUAAAAGGAGCAAAACUGUAAUUUCAAUCAGAUGGUCUCAUAGACCCCAUCAGAUUGGCGCAGUUUGGCUUUUUGCUGUGGUUUCAGCCAAGGGGGCAGGAUGACAGCAUUGAGACCAGUGCUUUGGGGGAGAAAAGAGAAGUAACCCUGCUUUUUUUCCCCUCCAUACAGUUGGGGGACGGGGUCCUAAAUAGCCAACAGGGCACUAUAGUAUUAAGAAUACACAUUUGUAAUUCUAACGCUGUAGUGUUACUUUAAAUGUACUUUAUCGUGUCAAUGUCACUUUGUAAGGAAAUACUAAAUAUAUCUUUGUGAAUGGCCCCCUCUUUAACCAUAGAAAACAAUUUAGCUGUAUGUAUAUGUGUUCCAUACAUAGCAGGGUUAUAUAACCCCCACGCCCCCCAUGCCUGACGACCAACAUGACACACACUCAUAGUUAUAUUUGGUGCACUACCCAGCUACAGUUGUAAAUCUUUUAGGGCUUCUGUUUGUUUAAUUCAUUUCCUUUCUUUUCUCAAUCUUUUGAUUUAAGUUUCAUGGUCACAUAGUCCUUAAUAAAUUGGGGCAUAGUAUGGUAUAUUAAUCUGGAAUUAAGGAAGAUCCACAAAAGUCCUUUGCAAAGUACAAUAUUUUUUAAAUAAGAUUAACUGUCUCUUUGAACCAUGCCAACUGCACAUAAAACUAUUAUUUUUGUUAGAUUAUUUGAACAUCAACUGGAAAUGCAGCCAGGUAUUUUAAUCACAAUAUUUGGCUUAAUUAGUUGUAUUCACCUUUCCAUACAUGAAAAAUACAAUUUAAUGUAAAAUAAAACCAUCCUAAAUUUGACAAAGAUGUAACGCUUAACAGUUGUCUAACCCAUGUUUGUAUUUUGUUGUCAUUGUAUGCAAUAAAAUAUUUAAGUUUAACAUU
This 29185-nucleotide long non-coding RNA is filed under the name Pelobates cultripes (western spadefoot toad). The record is from RNAcentral. Lineage: Eukaryota; Metazoa; Chordata; Amphibia; Anura; Pelobatidae.